Molecule: unclassified non-coding RNA, 379 nt
Filed under: uncultured Pseudaminobacter sp.
Lineage: Bacteria; Pseudomonadati; Pseudomonadota; Alphaproteobacteria; Hyphomicrobiales; Phyllobacteriaceae
Description: partial 16S-23S ribosomal RNA intergenic spacer
Rfam family: tRNA (bases 226-299)
Source: RNAcentral
UUGCGGCUGGAUCACCUCCUUUCUAAGGAUGAACCUCAAUGGAAACGCUUCCUUGUGAAGCCUCUGCCUUCUGGUUCACUUGGAACAAGACGGAAGAGAGUCACUCUUCACGUCGUGCAUACCUUAGCGGGAUCUGCCGCCUUCGUUUCUCUUUCUUCGCGAAUGACCAACCCGUGCCCUACGGCGCGCCGGCGGAGCCGGUGAUGCUANCUGGGUGUGGUGGGGGGCCUUGUAUCUCACUUGGUUACAGCGCGCGCUUGAUAAGCGUGAGGUCGGAGGUUCAAGUCCUCCCAGGCCCACCAUUCCUCUUGAGAGGUAUCAGGCGCCGUANCUCANCUGGGAGAGCACCUGCUUUGCAAGCAGGGGGUCGUCGGUUCAA